UAUUUUGCUUUGAACAAGAAUAGUAAUAUUGAAAUCAUCUAAAGAGAGCUGUUGUUUUGCUGAAAGACAGUGAUGAUAAUAUAUGAACUCACUUGGGAGCAUUGCUGCCAAAAAGCAGUACGGUUAAAACCGUUAUAUUGUAAAGUGAGGUUCUUACCUAAUUAGAGUGGUACCACGGAGUUUAACCUUCGUCUCUUUU
This 199-nucleotide non-coding RNA is filed under the name Clostridium pasteurianum. RNAcentral's name for it is "T-box sequence". It matches the Rfam family "T-box leader". From Rfam's summary of the family: Uncharged tRNA acts as the effector for transcription antitermination of genes in the T-box leader family. T-boxes are found upstream of many aminoacyl-tRNA synthetase genes and some amino acid biosynthetic genes usually in Gram-positive bacteria. The anticodon of a specific tRNA base pairs to a specifier sequence within the T-box motif, and the NCCA acceptor tail of the tRNA base pairs to a conserved bulge in the T-box antiterminator hairpin. Lineage: Bacteria; Bacillati; Bacillota; Clostridia; Eubacteriales; Clostridiaceae. The record is from RNAcentral.